Dreissena polymorpha is the source of this 238-nucleotide long non-coding RNA. RefSeq lists it as uncharacterized. The transcript has 2 exons. NCBI's taxonomy places the organism in Eukaryota, Metazoa, Mollusca, Bivalvia, Myida, Dreissenidae. The record is from RefSeq and is a predicted model, not a curated record.
UAUAAAACCUAGACUGUAGUCUUAGUUGUUUUAUAGCUAACAUAUAGUUGAAUCUAACCUAUUCUGAACACGUGCAUGUAACAACCAAUCAUUCACUUUCCCUCCGAUAUUCAGUUGCCUGUUGAAAGUUGUUUGAGACAGCCAUUGCAUUUAUUGAAUUGCAAUAUUAUAUUAUUUGUGUGGGAUAUUUUGGAUUCCUGCAGAUACCUUUAUCGAUCUAUUAAAACUUUGAAAACAU